UUCAAUACUAUUAUUGCAAAAUAAUGGUGUGCACUUUUCUCUUAGUAAGACGUUGUGAUCCAUUAGGAAUCGAAUAUUUAUCUAAAAUUGAAUAUUCAAUAGGCUACCAAUAGGCUGGCAUUGAAGUUCACAUUGACAAAUAAUACAAUCUUUUGGUUGUGCAUAUUGUCUUGUGAGCAAUACCAUAUACUGAUGUAGCUGCCUGAUAGAUUUUAAAGGUUAUAUCAUCAAUAUCUUGUAUAUUGCCUUCCAAAAGGAGGAUUAAAAAGAUAUAUACCCGAUCAACAACGGUUUCAUUUGAGAUACCUUUGGGACCCGUCUUGAAACACGGACCAAGGAGUCUAUCUAGUAUGCGAGUAAAUGGGAUAAUUUAAAUUAAUUUGAAACCUAUUUGCGUAAAUAACUUGACUGUAAUUUAAUGGGAUUACAUGCAUUUUUAUUGCAUCUCCAUCCCGGAGUAUUUUCACAACAUAUAUGGGCAACUAUAUAUAGAAAAUAUAUCAUGAGCAUACUGGACAUGACCCGAAAGAUGGUGAACUAUGCCUGAUCAGGUUGAAGUCAGGGGAAACCCUGAUGGAGGACCGAAGCAAUUCUGACGUGCAAAUCG
RNAcentral lists this ribosomal RNA (607 nucleotides) under Tanypodinae sp. FA120. Its description in RNAcentral is "partial 28S ribosomal RNA". It matches the Rfam family "Eukaryotic large subunit ribosomal RNA", at positions 430 to 900 of the family's 3401-position model. The record is from RNAcentral. Lineage: Eukaryota; Metazoa; Arthropoda; Insecta; Diptera; Chironomidae.